This 253-nucleotide ribosomal RNA is filed under the name uncultured bacterium. RNAcentral's name for it is "partial 16S ribosomal RNA". It matches the Rfam family "Bacterial small subunit ribosomal RNA", at positions 524 to 776 of the family's 1533-position model. The record is from RNAcentral.
UACGUAGGGGGCAAGCGUUGUCCGGAAUCAUUGGGCGUAAAGAGCGUGUAGGCGGCCAGAUAAGUCCGCUGUGAAAUCUCGAGGCUCAACUUCGAGCUGUCGGUGGAAACUGUCUGACUAGAGUCCGGAAGAGGAGAAUGGAAUUCCUGGUGUAGCGGUGAAAUGCGCAGAUAUCAGGAAGAACACCCGUGGCGAAGGCGGUUCUCUGGGACGGUACUGACGCUGAGACGCGAAAGCGUGGGGAGCGAACAGG